Molecule: ribosomal RNA, 253 nt
Filed under: uncultured bacterium
Lineage: Bacteria
Description: partial 16S ribosomal RNA
Rfam family: Bacterial small subunit ribosomal RNA
Source: RNAcentral
UACGAAGGGGGCUAGCGUUGUUCGGAAUUACUGGGCGUAAAGGGCGUGUAGGCGGUCCGCUAAGUCAGGUGUGAAAGGCCUGGGCUCAACCCAGGAAAUGCGCCUGAGACUGACGGACUUGAGUCCGGGAGAGGAUGGUGGAACUCCCAGUGUAGAGGUGAAAUUCGUAGAUAUUCGCAAGAACACCAGUGGCGAAGGCGGCUCACUGGCCCGAUACUGACGCUGAGGUGCGAAAGCGUGGGGAGCAAACAGG